Molecule: ribosomal RNA, 260 nt
Filed under: uncultured bacterium
Lineage: Bacteria
Description: partial 16S ribosomal RNA
Rfam family: Bacterial small subunit ribosomal RNA
Source: RNAcentral
GUCCACGCCGUAAACGAUGUCGACUAGCCGUUGGGUCCUUGAGACUUUAGUGGCGCAGCUAACGCAUUAAGUCGACCGCCUGGGGAGUACGGCCGCAAGGUUAAACUCAAAUGAAUUGACGGGGCCCGCACAAGCGGUGGAGCAUGUGGUUUAAUUCGAAGCAACGCGAAGAACCUUACCUGGCCUUGACAUGCUGAGAACUUUCUAGAGAUAGAUUGGUGCCUUCGGGAACUCAGACACAGGUGCUGCAUGGCUGUCGU